This 497-nucleotide ribosomal RNA is filed under the name Lactiplantibacillus plantarum. RNAcentral's name for it is "bacterial SSU rRNA". It matches the Rfam family "Bacterial small subunit ribosomal RNA", at positions 62 to 524 of the family's 1533-position model. The record is from RNAcentral. Lineage: Bacteria; Bacillati; Bacillota; Bacilli; Lactobacillales; Lactobacillaceae.
UMGAACGAACUCUGGUAUUGAUUGGUGCUUGCAUCAUGAUUUACAUUUGAGUGAGUGGCGAACUGGUGAGUAACACGUGGGAAACCUGCCCRGAAGCGGGGGAUAACACCUGGAAACAGAUGCUAAUACCGCAUAACAACUUGGACCGCAUGGUCCGAGYUUGAAAGAUGGCUUCGGCUAUCACUUYUGGAUGGUCCCGCGGCGUAUUAGCUAGAUGGUGAGGUAACGGCUCACCAUGGCAAUGAUACGUAGCCGACCUGAGAGGGUAAUCGGCCACAUUGGGACUGAGACACGGCCCAAACUCCUACGGGAGGCAGCAGUAGGGAAUCUUCCACAAUGGACGAAAGUCUGAUGGAGCAACGCCGCGUGAGUGAAGAAGGGUUUCGGCUCGUAAAACUCUGUUGUUAAAGAAGAACAUAUCUGAGAGUAACUGUUCAGGUAUUGACGGUAUUUAACCAGAAAGCCACGGCUAACUACGUGCCAGCMGCCGCGGUAAU